This 404-nucleotide ribosomal RNA is filed under the name Verrucomicrobiota bacterium. RNAcentral's name for it is "Verrucomicrobia bacterium partial 16S ribosomal RNA". It matches the Rfam family "Bacterial small subunit ribosomal RNA", at positions 355 to 776 of the family's 1533-position model. Lineage: Bacteria; Pseudomonadati; Verrucomicrobiota. The record is from RNAcentral.
UGGGGAAUAUUGGACAAUGGGCGCAAGCCUGAUCCAGCCAUGCCGCGUGAGUGAUGAAGGCCCUAGGGUUGUAAAGCUCUUUCACCGGUGAAGAUAAUGACGGUAACCGGAGAAGAAGCCCCGGCUAACUUCGUGCCAGCAGCCGCGGUAAUACGAAGGGGGCUAGCGUUGUUCGGAUUUACUGGGCGUAAAGCGCACGUAGGCGGACUUUUAAGUCAGGGGUGAAAUCCCGGGGCUCAACCCCGGAACUGCCUUUGAUACUGGAAGUCUUGAGUAUGGUAGAGGUGAGUGGAAUUCCGAGUGUAGAGGUUAAAUUCGUAGAUAUUCGGAGGAACACCAGUUGCGAAGGCGGCUCACUGGGCCAUUACUGACGAUGAGGUGCGAAAGCGUGGGGAGCAAACAGG